RNAcentral lists this ribosomal RNA (253 nucleotides) under uncultured bacterium. RNAcentral's name for it is "partial 16S ribosomal RNA". It matches the Rfam family "Bacterial small subunit ribosomal RNA", at positions 524 to 776 of the family's 1533-position model. The record is from RNAcentral.
UACGAAGGGGGCUAGCGUUGUUCGGAAUCACUGGGCGUAAAGCGCACGCAGGCGGAUCGUUAAGUCAGGGGUGAAAUCCCGGGGCUCAACCCCGGAACUGCCUUUGAUACUGGGUAUCUCGAGUCCGAGAGAGGUGAGUGGAAUUCCGAGUGUAGAGGUGAAAUUCGUAGAUAUUCGGAGGAACACCAGUGGCGAAGGCGGCUCACUGGCUCGGUACUGACGCUGAGGUGCGAAAGCGUGGGGAGCAAACAGG